This is a long non-coding RNA of Lingula anatina, 447 nucleotides long. The record is from RefSeq and is a predicted model, not a curated record. Lineage: Eukaryota; Metazoa; Brachiopoda; Lingulata; Lingulida; Lingulidae.
UAUAGCGCAACAGAAAGCUAUGUUUGUUAUUCUUCUUUGGUGAAUUCCACCGCAUUUCAAACAAACUGUAGUACAAUCCAGUCGGAUUUAGGACCUUUUUACUGGCUUAACCUGGUGAAACUUGAACCCUCCAGUCGGUUUUUUGGGGCAACAUGAAGGGCUGGGUCUUAGCCUUGCUAUUAUUUGUUUGUCUCAUAUAUGUUAUCAUUGGUGGUGUAGUGUUCCAUUUCAUAGAAACUCCAAAUGAGGAUACAGUGAGGACAACAGCUUUCACAGGGUAUCAAAAUUUCCUUAAGAAUUUUACAUGUGUAAGUCAAGAGGAACUGGAAACUCUCAUCAAAACCAUUAUUAAGGCUUAUGACAGCGGUGUAUUGCAGACUAAUUCAACACAAAGCGCUUCUAACUGGGACAUUCCAAGUGCUGUAUUUUUCUCUGCUACAAUUAUCA